CCUACGGGUGGCAGCAGUGGGGAAUAUUGCACAAUGGAGGAAACUCUGAUGCAGCGACGCCGCGUGAGUGAAGAAGUAAUUCGUUAUGUAAAGCUCUAUCAGCAGGGAAGAAAAUGACGGUACCUGAGUAAUAAGCCCCGGCGAACUACGUGCCAGCAGUCGCGGUAAUACGUAGGGGGCAAGCGUUAUCCGGAUUUACUGGGUGUAAAGGGAGCGUAGACGGCAGUGCAAGUCUGGCGUGAAAGGCGGGGGCUCAACCCCCGGACUGCUCUGGAAACUGUACGGCUGGAGUGCAGGAGAGGUAAGUGGAAUUCGGAGUGUAGCGGUGAAAUGCGUAGAUAUUAGGAGGAACCCCAGUGGCGAAGGCGGCUUACUGGACUGUAACGGACGUUGAGGCUCGAAGGCGUGGGGAGCAAACAGGAUUAGAUACCCUUGUAGUC
Molecule: ribosomal RNA, 440 nt
Filed under: uncultured bacterium
Lineage: Bacteria
Description: partial 16S ribosomal RNA
Rfam family: Bacterial small subunit ribosomal RNA
Source: RNAcentral